UGAUGAUAGUAAAGAUGUAAAAUAGUGUUUUCCCCCUUCCACUGAUAGAUCUAUUUCUUGAGUAUUUGUAAUAUAUACAUUUAUUUAUCCUCCUCAUUCAUUCUCAUCUUCCAUUUUCUUUCACAUCUCCCAUUACCCUUAACCGGGUAUCACACUUGGCUAAAACAUAGCAGAUAUAUCGUGCAACCCGUAUCCGAACGACUAUCUACAAAAGGAACAAAAAAACACCGUCCAAACAGAAGACAACAAUUCUUUUCUAAACAGCGAAGGUAUAUACCGCUAUAAAUACAUGCAAUGCUGAAUCAUAGAAAGAGGGAAUGCAAGAACAAACGGGGCACAUAACAGAUAUUAUCACCAAGCCAUCCAU
Molecule: small RNA, 367 nt
Filed under: Histoplasma capsulatum
Lineage: Eukaryota; Fungi; Ascomycota; Eurotiomycetes; Onygenales; Ajellomycetaceae
Also listed under: 1 other name
Description: hypothetical RNA
Source: RNAcentral